UUAGCCUGUGUCUCUACUUCAACGAACUUAACAAUCCCACCAUGGAAGUAUCAUGUCUUCUUGAGUUUCAGAGGAGAAGACACACGCAGAGACUUCACAGCUGAGUUACACAAUGCUCUGAAAGAAAGGUGUAUCAGAACUUUCAUAGAUUAUGAUAUAAGGAAAGGGAAAGAUAUCAGCCCAGAACUGAUUCAAGCAAUUGAAGAGUCUCUCUGUGCCAUUAUCAUAUUCUCUAAGGAUUACGCUGCUUCAACUUGGUGUUUGGAUGAGCUCUCAAAGAUUGUUGACUGUAAAAAGGCUUGGAGCUGAUUCGUUUUCCCAGUGUUCUAUAACGUAGAUCCAUCUGAUGUACGACAUCAAAGAGGAACUUUUGCUGCUGCGUUUCAACAACAUUGUGAGAUAUUUACUCAAGAACAGGUGCAAAAAUGGAGAAAUGACUUGAAAGAAGUGGCAAAUAUAAGUGGCUAUCAUUGGAUUGAUGGGAAUAAAGAGAACAACAUUAGAAAAAUCGUUACAGGAGUAUGGUCAAAUACCAUUUGUACUUCGAAAGUUGAAACAUGAAGAAGUUAUCAAGGGGGUGGGACAUCCUCAAGCGAUAAAUUUUCUGUUUGACCUUGACCUCUCUGGUAAGAGUUUGCCAUUCAUGGAUUUCAGCUAUGCUGGUUUUAAAGAUGUUAGAAUGGUGCAAACAAACCUAGAUUGCACAAAAUUUUUGUUUAUUUGUCAGGAUGUUAAUGUUGAAGAAUGCAUUUUCGACUGUUCAAAUUUCCCUCGAUGUCAAUUUAAUCGAGCCACUUUUCGUAGAGUUUCACUGAAUAAUGCUGCUCUUCAGAACUCAAAACUAGAAGAUGCUUGCUUGAUAAAAUGUUCCUUAGUUGGAGCAGUCCUGACUUCUGCAAUUCUUAAGAAUGCAGUUCUUUGUGAUGUCAAUUUAGAAGGAGCCAUCCUCAAAGGAGCUAAUUUAGAGGGUGCAAAGUUGUACAAUCCUAACUUGAAGGCUGCAAAUCUUGAAGGAGCCAAUCUUCCAUAUGUUAACCUUUCAGAUAUGGAUUUACGUGAUGUGAAUUUCAACUUUGCAUGUCUUGAACAUGUCUCAUUUUUACGUGCAAACCUUUUAUGUGGAAAGUUCCGGCAUGUUAAUGCCAAGGGCUCCAUCUUUGACUUUGCAAAUUUGCGUCGAUGUGAAUUUAACAAGGCAAAUCUACAUGGAGCUUCAUUAAAAUUUGCCAUCCUUGAGCAUGCAAAUCUAAAUGAUGCUUGUUUGAAAGAUUGUACUUUGAUCGGAGCCGACCUAAGUUUUGCACUUUUACAGGUUAAACAUGGCAUGAGUUAUGAAAUGCAGAUCUUACAAAUGCCAAUCUAGAGGAAGCUGACCCACGAGGAGCUAAUUUAGAGGGUGCAAAGUUGGACAAUGCCAAUAUGAAGGAUGCAAAGUUAAACUAAUGAGCUUUCCUUUAGGACAAUUGCGCUUGUGAAGAACCAAAAAUUAGACUCAACGUUGAUGGAAUAAAUAGAUCAGAUGAGGCAUUGGGUCCCUUAAUGAAGGGCUCUAAUUAGAUACUUGAAUCACUCUCAUGUGUGUCUUUUUAGAAUUUGUUAUGAAUUUUUAAAUUAAAGUUAGCCCAACAUUUUGACUUUUGAAAUUGCCAAAUUAAUAAUAACGAAGAAGGUAUUUCUAAUAAGUGAA
Molecule: RNA transcript, 1687 nt
Organism: Prosopis cineraria
Lineage: Eukaryota; Viridiplantae; Streptophyta; Magnoliopsida; Fabales; Fabaceae
Gene name: FH protein interacting protein FIP2-like
Exons: 16
Source: RefSeq, a predicted model, not a curated record